This is a long non-coding RNA of Gallus gallus (chicken), 1708 nucleotides long. The record is from Ensembl. Lineage: Eukaryota; Metazoa; Chordata; Aves; Galliformes; Phasianidae.
AAGUCACAUUCUGGAUGGCCAUGCAGAUUGUUACAAGCGCAGCAUGCAGGCUCUUUUUCAUCACUGGUGAAAAUGCCUUGCUAAUGGUGACUGUGUUGAAAAAAUUUGUUUUGUAGCUGAGACUUUGCUCUAUCAACUAGUGUUCUUGUGCUCAUUGUAGCCGUUGUAGUUUCCAUGGAAAUAAACAGGAGGCAUUACUUUCGGAGCAACCUAAAUAGUUUUCAAGUAUCUGGAAGUAUUUUUACACUGGUUCUAGGAAGGUUUAUUUGCAUUGCUUUUUCUUCACUUGCAUUGCUUUACAAGUUUUUUGUUUUUUUUUUUUUCCCCAGAGCACCUACCCUUUAAAAACAUCAACAAAUGGUGACCUCUGGAUGCUACUCACAGUGUAGUCACUAAGACAAGAUUGUGAGAAUAACUGACAUUCUUGUUAUCUUGAUAACACUUUGUUAUCGUUCAAGAAAUCAUCUUGGAUUGAUUGGAAAUGGAAGUGAGAUGCCUUCUGCCUUCUUCCCACUCAUGUGGCUGCAGGCCCUCUGGAACAGAGCUCCAGACCAGAUGCAGCCUAUGGGCCACAGAUUCCCACCCUGACCAAAAAGGGAAGCUUUCUCCUGGAAGGAUGAUGGCAGAGGAGAAAAUGCAGCAGCCCUGGGCAACGAGCAAGGUCUGCAGUCUGGCAGUGCAGCUCAGCAGAUCUCUGAGAUGUGAAGUCAUCUAAGUGGAGCCACCCUACGCGUGUCAAACGAACUGACAGAUUGCAAGUGUGCUUCCUCACAUUUUGGUUUCACUGAGUCAGCAAGCCUUGCAUGGGGUGGUUCCUCUGUUCACUGAGAUUUUACCAGUCUUCCAAUUAAAUUCCCUUUCCACCAAUAUGAACUUGACAUUCUUUGGAAGAGGUCACAUGCCGGUUCGCACACCUGCAGGGAUUACAGUAGAGCUGCUCAUUAUUCCAGCCCUCUUGUCUGGGUAGACAUACUUACACCAAGGAUGUACCUCCUGUGGUUAUUUUCUCUCUGAGGUGAGGGAGGUAAAAUUGUUUGCCUAGUAUAUACCAAUCAUUUCCCUCAUGGUAAUGGGCAAAUACCUGCUUGCUGCUGGCUUUCCUUCAUGGAACUUGCAAUGCUGCUCAAUUUUUCCAUUUAUUUACUCAGCCUGUAGGGCACUGUAUUCCGGUUUCAUUCUUUAGGUUUCUUUGAAGCCAAUGAAGCAGGACUGGCUCUUGAAAGUGCAGAAGUUGGGAUUCAAUCCAUAUUUAUAUGCCAUUGCUGUAAAUGUGGAGACUGUAUUAAAGGGCUGAUCAGGCACGAAAAAAGACUUUAACUAAUUUAAGUCAGCAGGAAACCUUUUGUUUUUUACUUUAUAGAUUUUUCUGCAGUUGCUCAUCCUGAAAAUUUGGCAAUAGGUUUCUGAUAAUUCAAAGUCAAAUCUUGUACCAUAGUCAUGAGUAGAAGGAAAUAAAUGAUUUGAAUAUUAUCAGUUAUGCUUGAAAAAUGAGUGGUUCUUCCACUACUUCCAAACCAAAAGAAUACUUCCCAUUAAUCAAGUUGGAAGACUGUGUCUCAUGCUUCAUUCUAGUUUAUGUAUUCGGUCCUCUUUUCCUUGAUCCUACCUGUAGAGCCAUGUGUUUUCUAUAUUUCCUCUGUUCCAUUUACACUGCAAAUGAUUAUAAUUUCUGUUACACAAAAAAACCUGAGCUGCCACAACCACUACC